RNAcentral lists this ribosomal RNA (1383 nucleotides) under uncultured bacterium. RNAcentral describes it as "bacterial SSU rRNA". It matches the Rfam family "Bacterial small subunit ribosomal RNA", at positions 18 to 1395 of the family's 1533-position model. The record is from RNAcentral.
CCUGGCUCACGAUGAACGCUAGCUACAGCGCUUAACACAUGCAAGUCGAGGGGCAGCAUGGUCUUAGCUUGCUAAGGCCGAUGGCGACCGGCGCACGGGUGAGUAACACGUAUCCAACCUGCCGUCUACUCUUGGACAGCCUUCUGAAAGGAAGAUUAAUACAAGAUGGCAUCAUGAGUCCGCAUGUUCACAUGAUUAAAGGUAUUCCGGUAGACGAUGGGGAUGCGUUCCAUUAGAUAGUAGGCGGGGUAACGGCCCACCUAGUCUUCGAUGGAUAGGGGUUCUGAGAGGAAGGUCCCCCACAUUGGAACUGAGACACGGUCCAAACUCCUACGGGAGGCAGCAGUGAGGAAUAUUGGUCAAUGGGCGAGAGCCUGAACCAGCCAAGUAGCGUGAAGGAUGACUGCCCUAUGGGUUGUAAACUUCUUUUAUAAAGGAAUAAAGUCGGGUAUGGAUACCCGUUUGCAUGUACUUUAUGAAUAAGGAUCGGCUAACUCCGUGCCAGCAGCCGCGGUAAUACGGAGGAUCCGAGCGUUAUCCGGAUUUAUUGGGUUUAAAGGGAGCGUAGAUGGAUGUUUAAGUCAGUUGUGAAAGUUUGCGGCUCAACCGUAAAAUUGCAGUUGAUACUGGAUAUCUUGAGUGCAGUUGAGGCAGGCGGAAUUCGUGGUGUAGCGGUGAAAUGCUUAGAUAUCACGAAGAACUCCGAUUGCGAAGGCAGCCUGCUAAGCUGCAACUGACAUUGAGGCUCGAAAGUGUGGGUAUCAAACAGGAUUAGAUACCCUGGUAGUCCACACGGUAAACGAUGAAUACUCGCUGUUUGCGAUAUACAGCAAGCGGCCAAGCGAAAGCGUUAAGUAUUCCACCUGGGGAGUACGCCGGCAACGGUGAAACUCAAAGGAAUUGACGGGGGCCCGCACAAGCGGAGGAACAUGUGGUUUAAUUCGAUGAUACGCGAGGAACCUUACCCGGGCUUAAAUUGCAGAUGAAUUACGGUGAAAGCCGUAAGCCGCAAGGCAUCUGUGAAGGUGCUGCAUGGUUGUCGUCAGCUCGUGCCGUGAGGUGUCGGCUUAAGUGCCAUAACGAGCGCAACCCUUGUUGUCAGUUACUAACAGGUUCCGCUGAGGACUCUGACAAGACUGCCAUCGUAAGAUGUGAGGAAGGUGGGGAUGACGUCAAAUCAGCACGGCCCUUACGUCCGGGGCUACACACGUGUUACAAUGGGGGGUACAGAGGGCCGCUACCACGCGAGUGGAUGCCAAUCCCCAAAACCUCUCUCAGUUCGGACUGGAGUCUGCAACCCGACUCCACGAAGCUGGAUUCGCUAGUAAUCGCGCAUCAGCCACGGCGCGGUGAAUACGUUCCCGGGCCUUGUACACACCGCCC